AUCGAAGAAGACACAGGGAUUGCCUCAGUAACGGCGAGUGAAGCGGCAACAGCUCAAAUUUGAAAGCUGGCUCUUUCAGGGUCCGCGUUGUAAUUUGUAGAGGAUGCUUCGGGUGCGGCGCUGGUCUAAGUUCUUUGGAACAAGACGUCAUGGAGGGUGAGAAUCCCGUAUGUGACUGGUUGCCUGUGCCUAUGUGAAGCUCCUUCGACGAGUCGAGUUGUUUGGGAAUGCAGCUCUAAAUGGGUGGUGUACUUCAUCUAAAGCUAAAUAUUGGGUCUAGACCGAUAGCGCACAAGUAGAGUGAUCGAAAGAUGAAAAGCACUUUGGAAAGAGAGUUAAACAGUACGUGAAAUUGUUGAAAGGGAAGCGCUUGCAAUCAGACUUGCGCUGCGUCGAUCAGCCUGGGUUCUCCCUGGUGCACUCGGCGCAGCUCAGGCCAGCAUCAGUUUUGGCGGCUGGAUAAAGGCCUAGGGAACGUGGGUCGCCUCGGCGACCGUUAUAGCCCUAGGUGCAAUGCAGCCUGCCGGGACUGAGGACCGCGCUUCGGCUAGGAUGCUGGCGUAAUGGUUGUAAGCGACCCGUCUUGAAACACGGACCAAGGAGUCUAACAUUUAUGCGAGUGUUUGGGUGUCAAACCCAUACGCGCAAUGAAGGUGAACGGAGGUGAGAACCCUUAAGGGCGCAUCAUCGACCGAUCCUGAUGUCUUCGGAUGGAUUUGAGUAAGAGCAUAACUGUUGGGACCCGAAAGAUGGUGAACUAUGCCUGAAUAGGGUGAAGCCAGAGGAAACUCUGGUGGAGGCUCGCAGCGGUUCUGACGUGCAAAUCGAUCGUCAAAUUUGGGUAUAGGGGCGAAAGACUAAUCGAAGCUGCCCGUAGG
Molecule: ribosomal RNA, 878 nt
Filed under: Hypoderma berberidis
Lineage: Eukaryota; Fungi; Ascomycota; Leotiomycetes; Rhytismatales; Rhytismataceae
Description: eukaryotic LSU rRNA
Rfam family: Eukaryotic large subunit ribosomal RNA
Source: RNAcentral